UAGGGAAUCUUCGGCAAUGGACGAAAAGUCUGGCCGAGCAACGCCGCGUGAGUGAAGAAGGUUUUCGGAUCGUAAAACUCUGUUGGUAGAGAAGAACGUUGGUGAGAGUGGAAAGCUCAUCAAGUGGCGGUAACUACCCAGAAAGGGACGGCUAACUACGUGCCAG
RNAcentral lists this ribosomal RNA (166 nucleotides) under uncultured bacterium. RNAcentral describes it as "partial 16S rRNA". It matches the Rfam family "Bacterial small subunit ribosomal RNA", at positions 355 to 511 of the family's 1533-position model. The record is from RNAcentral.